AGGCUUGUAUCAAAGCUAACAGAGAUCCUGUAACAAAAUCCUGGGUUUGGAUUAUAACACGGUGAAAGAAGACACAUCCACAGUAAAUAUUCUUGAUAAAAUUACCAAGAUGAAGAUCCUGAGAGUGAGAUAAAGAUGAAGGUUGGCAUGCUGCUUAAGCAACUGGAUCUGUACCUACUGAAUCAUUCUCUAAAACGUAUUUCAUUACAAAUCUGUUUAAACCCAACAACUGUUAAGAACCAUAUAGAACUGCUGAAACAUUUCUCAGGAAAAGGAGAACAAACUGUCUUGGAAUCUAUUGACUAUACUUCAGAUUAUGAAUUUUCAAAUGGAUGUCGAGCCCCACCUUGGAGACAAAUUCAUGGGAGAAAUUUGUUACGUGCUGGUAAAACCCCAUGAUUGUUGAAACUCUGUGUGUUACUUGUAGUACAGAAAGGA
Long non-coding RNA from Canis lupus familiaris (dog), 438 nucleotides. RefSeq lists it as uncharacterized. The transcript has 4 exons. The record is from RefSeq and is a predicted model, not a curated record. Lineage: Eukaryota; Metazoa; Chordata; Mammalia; Carnivora; Canidae.